UUGGAAAGAGUCCACUUGACUAGCAGUCCAAAAAAGUAUUGAUAGGAUCCAACUGUAUUCCACGUCAGAAUUCGGUGUACGGAAUCAAAUCCACCUCUAUAACUACCUAAGAAUCACUCCUCUUCUUCAAACCCCCUUGCAAUUCUUCAGAAGGUUAUAUGGAUUACGGACAUCUUGUGACAAAGGAAGGUGCGAGGGAAUCACUCAUCGCCAUUUCUUACGACGUUGUUGAAGAGAUUCGUGCUUUUUUACCGGAGACUGAGAAUGCGAAUGGUGUAACAAACGAUGCGAUUACGAAUACUAGAAACAAGACGCUUGAGGAAUUAAGAUCAGAACUGAUUUCACUGGCUUCUUUUGACCCAUCAACGGACUGUAAGAAGGUUUAGAGGUUAUGGUAGAUUUGAACAUCUUUGGCAUUAUUGUUAAUUGAUUUUACCCUUUUGAUCUACUAUUAUUGUGAUGGUAUUAUUUCAAUUUAAUGUUUCAUUAAAUAUGAAAUUAUUUACUUGCUUUAUAUGUUUUCA
Helianthus annuus (common sunflower) is the source of this 524-nucleotide long non-coding RNA. RefSeq lists it as uncharacterized. The transcript is spliced from 2 exons. The record is from RefSeq and is a predicted model, not a curated record. Lineage: Eukaryota; Viridiplantae; Streptophyta; Magnoliopsida; Asterales; Asteraceae.